This 434-nucleotide ribosomal RNA is filed under the name uncultured bacterium. RNAcentral's name for it is "partial 16S ribosomal RNA". It matches the Rfam family "Bacterial small subunit ribosomal RNA", at positions 27 to 507 of the family's 1533-position model. The record is from RNAcentral.
GAACGAACGCUGGCGGCAUGCCUAACACGUGCAAGUCGAACGAGACCUUCGGGUCUAGUGGCGCACGGGUGCGUAACGCGUGGGAACCUGCCCUUAGGUUCGGAAUAACUCCCCGAAAGGGGUGCUAAUACCGGAUAAUGUCUUCGGACCAAAGAUUUAUCGCCUUUGGAUGGGCCCGCGUUGGAUUAGCUAGUUGGUAGGGUAAAAGCCUACCAAGGCGACGAUCCAUAGCUGGUCUGAGAGGAUGAUCAGCCACACUGGGACUGAGACACGGCCCAGACUCCUACGGGAGGCAGCAGUGGGGAAUAUUGGACAAUGGGCGAAAGCCUGAUCCAGCAAUGCCGCGUGAGUGAUGAAGGCCUUAGGGUUGUAAAGCUCUUUUACCCGGGAUGAUAAUGACAGUACCGGGAGAAUAAGCUCCGGCUAACUCCGUG